AUUCAUACCAUAGCUCAUAAAAAAAGAAGCAACCUUACUAUUGAGCUAAACUAUUGGGCCUAAAGCCUAGACCCAAUAGCCCAGGCCCAGACCUGUCAAGACUUGUGUCUAUCCGGGCUCUUUUUCAUGUCUGGCCCAACUUGAAUCAGAAAAAGACCUUUUGGUCUUAAAGAUUGGGCUUAUAGCUUUGGCCAUUGUUCGACUAUACUUAUGAGAACAUGAUAAUGAGAUGACUACACUCCUAAGGCAAUCAGGAAGCAAGAAAUUGGUUUGCUACAAUACUCCAAAUGAAAUGAAAUGCUUUUCAAAAUUACAUUAUAACCUAUUAAUACAUUAAGCAACUAUCGAAAGGAAACUAAUCUAUUACAAGUUCUGUAUGAUUAAUAACCUAAAGAGAUGCCUUGCCUCUUUGAACAUGACUUGUCCAUCAAAGCUUGGUAUCAUCUUGUAUUAUAGCAGUAGAGUCCAAAUCUCAGCUUUUGAACCUGCUAAUUUGGUCACCUAGUCAUCAAAUCUGCAGGUACUAGCCCCAAGUUCCCUAACAACUUUGUAGCCAUUCUCAUCCCAAACAACAAAUAUAACACAUAGAUUUCAGUACACUAUCGGCUAUCAUAUCUAAAUUUAGGCUUUAACACAUGCUGAUUUAACCAAUUAAUGGCCAAAUCUACAAGUUAUGGCCUACUUAACUUUAAACAAGGCAAGCAUUAUACUAAAAUCGUUUAUAAGUAAGAAGGGCAUGAAUAACAGGUGAGAGAGCUGAAGUAAAGAAAAUCAACAGAGAGUUUCAACUCAUGCAAAUCCAGAUUUCAACAUUCUAAGAAGACUACAUAAUCAAAAACCACACAAGUGCUCAUGUUAAUACACUUACAAUCAGAAUAGCUAAGUUCAAAAAGAUUAAUCAAAUAAUGCUAAAGGAACACUCAUUCAUUAAACAUCUCUUUGCAAAUUUUGACAUUUUAUAACUUAAAAAAACUACAUAGGAGAUCUGAAGCAGUACCUUGAAGAGUGAGAGGCAGCAAAGAAAAUAAAGAACUAAAUAUGCUGAAAAUCCAAAAAUGGAACAGCAAACAAGAGCAGGCAAUAGCAGCAGUAAAACACAGCACAUCACAACCUUAGAUAAACCAGUAUUCCCAAAAAAGCAAAACCCCAGCAGUCUUGAAACUAGAAAUUCUAGCCAAACUCAAUAAAAACCCUCUACUUCAGACCAUGUUUUCAACAAAGAAAUCCAAAAGAAAGAGAAGAAUUUGAAGGUUUUAUAAAGUAUUCUGAAAUCUGAUCUUUUCAGAAGAAAGGACCUUUUUUGUGUCGUAAUGAUUCUAAAUGCUGUUUUUAGAACUUUUUCAGGCUAAGAAUAAUGCUCCAAAAUCCAUGUAAGAUUGAGGGAAAGCUUUCUUUAUAUAGAGUGCCAAAAAAGCAUCUAGGGAAUAUUCUACCCUAAAUUCCC
Molecule: long non-coding RNA, 1444 nt
Filed under: Nicotiana tabacum (common tobacco)
Lineage: Eukaryota; Viridiplantae; Streptophyta; Magnoliopsida; Solanales; Solanaceae
Description: long non-coding RNA (NTAB_LNC010442)
Source: RNAcentral